CUAAGAGAGUGGUAUUUCAGGGAGAAGUUUUUUUAAAUUUAAUAAUUCAAGUUAUUUUAAUUUGUGAAGAAACAAUUAUAUAAAUUAAGGACAAGAAGACCCUAAGAAUUUAAGAAUUCUUAUGUUACUUAAAUAUAAAAUAGGAAUUCUUAGUUGGGGCAACUAAAAAACAUUAUAAACUUUUUUUCUUUAAAAUGACCCAUUAUUAAUGAUAAUAUGAUUAAAUACUCUAGGGAUAACAGCGUAAUAA
RNAcentral lists this ribosomal RNA (250 nucleotides) under Dermacentor reticulatus. RNAcentral describes it as "partial large subunit ribosomal RNA". The record is from RNAcentral. Lineage: Eukaryota; Metazoa; Arthropoda; Arachnida; Ixodida; Ixodidae.